RNAcentral lists this ribosomal RNA (492 nucleotides) under uncultured bacterium. RNAcentral describes it as "partial 16S ribosomal RNA". It matches the Rfam family "Bacterial small subunit ribosomal RNA", at positions 29 to 507 of the family's 1533-position model. The record is from RNAcentral.
AGUGAACGCUGGCGGUAGGCCUAACACAUGCAAGUCGAACGGCAGCACAGUAAGAGCUUGCUCUUACGGGUGGCGAGUGGCGGACGGGUGAGGAAUACAUCGGAAUCUACUUUUUCGUGGGGGAUAACGUAGGGAAACUUACGCUAAUACCGCAUACGACCUACGGGUGAAAGCAGGGGAUCUUCGGACCUUGCGCGAUUGAAUGAGCCGAUGUCGGAUUAGCUAGUUGGCGGGGUAAAGGCCCACCAAGGCGACGAUCCGUAGCUGGUCUGAGAGGAUGAUCAGCCACCCUGGAACUGGGACACGGUCCAGGCUCCUGCGGGAGGCAGCAGUGGGGAAUAUUAGACAAUGGGCGCAAGCCUGAUCCAGCCAGACCGCGUGGGUGAAGAAGGCCUUCGGGUUGUAAAGCCCUUUUGUUGGUAAAGAAAAGCAGCAGGUUAAUACGCCGCUGUUCUGACGGUACCCAAAGAAUAAGCACCGGCUAACUUCGUG